GCAAGUCGAACGGCCCUUCGGGGCAGUGGCAAACGGGCGAGUAACGCGUACUUAACCUACCCAGAAGUUGGGGACAACUAUGGAGACAUAGCUAAUCCCCAAUAUUAUCUUUUGGCUGAAAUGCCUUUAGAUCAAAGAUUUAUCGCUUUUGGAGGGGGGUGCGUCCUAUCAGGUAGUUGGUAAGGUAAUGGCUUACCAAGCCUAUGACGGGUAGCCGGUCUGAGAGGAUGUCC
Molecule: ribosomal RNA, 233 nt
Filed under: uncultured bacterium
Lineage: Bacteria
Description: partial 16S ribosomal RNA
Rfam family: Bacterial small subunit ribosomal RNA
Source: RNAcentral